GACGAACGCUGGCGGCGUGCCUAAUACAUGCAAGUAGAACGCUGAAGGAGGAGCUUGCUUCUCUGGAUGAGUUGCGAACGGGUGAGUAACGCGUAGGUAACCUGCCUGGUAGCGGGGGAUAACUAUUGGAAACGAUAGCUAAUACCGCAUAAUAGCAGUUGUUGCAUGACAACUGUUUGAAAGGUGCAAUUGCACCACUACCAGAUGGACCUGCGUUGUAUUAGCUAGUUGGUGGGGUAACGGCUCACCAAGGCGACGAUACAUAGCCGACCUGAGUGGGUGAUCGGCCACACUGGGACUGAGACACGGCCCAGACUCCUACGGGAGGCAGCAGUAGGGAAUCUUCGGCAAUGGACGGAAGUCUGACCGAGCAACGCCGCGUGAGUGAAGAAGGUGUUCGGAUCGUAAAGCUCUGUUGUAAGAGAAGAACGAGUGUGAGAGUGGAAAGUUCACACUGUGACGGUAUCUUACCAGAAAGGGACGGCUAACUACGUGC
This 496-nucleotide ribosomal RNA is filed under the name uncultured bacterium. RNAcentral's name for it is "partial 16S ribosomal RNA". It matches the Rfam family "Bacterial small subunit ribosomal RNA", at positions 28 to 508 of the family's 1533-position model. The record is from RNAcentral.